GCUGUGGCCACGGCACCUGCUGUCCCCGGAGCCUGGGCACCGACGUAAGGGAGGAAGGCGGCGCCUCCCUUUUCCCCUGCCCUGGCCACAGGAGCCUCAGGAUUGACAGCUCAUCUGCGGAUGGCAGAAGGAAGAAGGAUGAGGAAGACUUGAGCCUGGCCGGGCAAUCCUUGGUUUCCUCAUGAACCCUUGCAAUCGGGUUACAUUUUGAACAUCACUGGGACAUGCUAAGAACUCCUCUGGAGCACAGCAGUGCUCACAUCAAUAGUCCAGCAGAUUGAGCACGGAGAUGUCAGCAGACACACUUGCAAGUUUGGUCUGAAAACCAGAGGGACCGUGCCCACGAUCCCCGCCGUUUCCCUGACCAGCACGGCUGUGGCGAGUUCGUUGUUCAAUCCCGGAUGGCUCAGCAAAUCCAACCCCCUCCGCCCUGUUCUAUCGCCGCAUGGAUCUGCAGAGGCAGCCGUUCCUGCCGGGUGGAUUUGCCUUCCGCGAAGGACAACACAGAACCACUCUGAGUUAUUUGACACUGACAUCGAUCCUAGUUGGCUGACUCUGGUUGGUGGUGAGAGGACAAAUGUUCCCAGGGACUAUUAAACAACCACAAAAAUCUGAGAGGGCGGUUAUCUGAACAUGGAACAGAAACAAGACAGUAACGAGUUCCAAUGUUCUUUUUUUUUUCUACACAGGAUUCAAACGAACUCAGAGUAGCGAGAUCAGAAUACAUGAAUCUGACCUGUUUUUACUCACAACACCUCUGAUACCAAGUGCGUGGGUUUUUUUCACACCGAAAACCAGUUCUCCCAACUCUCCAGACACCAACUGGGUGGCCUACGAUUCCGUUCAAACGUGACACUAACUCCACAGGCUCCGAGGCUCAGUCCCUCAGGACUGCCCUGAGUUCAGACGCCAGCCUCCUGACUCCAGCCCAGGGUACCCACACUUCUGUCCAACUUGGCUACAAAGUUGGGGGUUUCCUACAUUCCCCCCACCCUCCCUCCCAGUUUCACAUUCAGUAAUUUGCUAGAACAGCUCACAGAACUCAGGAAGGCACUUUACUGGUACUGGUUUAUUAUUAAUAUAAAGCAUUGGACUCAGAACAGCCAGAUGGAAAAGAUGCUUAGGACGAGGUGAGGGGGGUGGAAGGCCAAGGGGCUUCCUCAUCCUCUCCAGGCUGCCACCCCUCCCAACACACCUCCAUGUGUUCACCAACCCAGAAAUUCUCCACAUUUUUUUUUUUGAGUCAGCGUCUUGCUCUGUCACCCAGGCUGGAGCGCAGUGGCACGGUCUCGGCUCACUGCAACCUCUGCUUCCUGGGUUCAAGCAAUUCUCCUGCCUCAGCCUCCCGAGCAGCUGGGAUGACAAGUGUCUGCCACAUGUCUGGCUAAUUUUUGUACCUUUAGUAGAGACGGGGUUUCACCAUGUUGACCAGGCUGGUCUCAAACUCCUGACCUCCAGUGAUCCACCCACCUCGGCCUCCCAGUGCUGGGAUUACAGGUGUGAGCCACCCUGCCUGGCUCACAUUCUGUCAUUUGGGGCUCUUUUUUUUUUUUUUUUUGGAUUCAUUAUGUAGGCAUGAUUGAUUAAUCACUGGCUGUUGGUGAUUAACUUAAUCUCCAGCCCCUCUCCCCUCCCCAAAGGUCAGAGGUCUGAGCUGAAAGUUCUGACUAAUUCCAGCUCCCAGCCCCCAUCCUGGAGCUGCCCAGUCCUCUCACUGACAUUCAAAAAACACUCAUCCCUCUGGAGAUCCCAAGGGUUUUGGAAGCUCUGGACCAGAAAACAGGAUCAAAGACCAAAUAUGCAGCCACGGCCCCAUCCACCUCUGAGGGCAUGUGCUCUGGCCUUACUAUGACGGCGGCGGUGGCGAGUCUGAUACAGGCGGGAUGAUGCACGCUUUAUCUGGAACCCUUGGCCUUGGAUAAAAUUUGUCUUCUGUAGCAGUUACGUCCAUGGAGCUAAGUCCAGGUCCACCUGCCAUUGCAAUUAUGGCAGGGAAAAGGACAGAGGGAGCUGACGAUUACACCUAACUUUGGAUUUGGGGCACCCUUCUGUUCCCCCACUUCCUGCUUCGCUGACACUCACACCCCCAAAGGCGGUGGCGCAGAAGCUGAAAUCAGGGCUCAGGACUCCAUCUACAGCCAGGCCCACGAGCAGGGUCUGUUCUGAAGGCUCCACCAGCAGCUGUGUCCCAAGCCAACUGGCAAGACACCGUCCCACCCGACAGUGGCUUCCUCCCCGUGGCGUCAUCUCCCUUCCAAAGAGGGAGGAAUUUGGACUAUUACCCACGAACGAUAGCAGGCUAAGAAACAAAUUAUGAUUACGAAAGAUUAAAGAAAAAAAAAA
Homo sapiens (human) is the source of this 2343-nucleotide long non-coding RNA. RefSeq lists it as uncharacterized. NCBI's taxonomy places the organism in Eukaryota, Metazoa, Chordata, Mammalia, Primates, Hominidae. The transcript is spliced from 3 exons. The record is from RefSeq and is a predicted model, not a curated record.